Non-coding RNA from Camellia sinensis, 536 nucleotides. Lineage: Eukaryota; Viridiplantae; Streptophyta; Magnoliopsida; Ericales; Theaceae. The record is from RefSeq and is a predicted model, not a curated record.
UUGGGAACUUAUAAAGAGGGCAGGGUACAAUGCUAUAUGGAGGAAGCCUCUGAACAACAACUGUUAUGUUAAUCGGCAUACUCAAUUACAACCUCCUAUAUGUGAAGCUAAUGACGAUCCAAACAAUGUUUGGUAUGUCAGUCUAAAGGCAUGUAUCACUCCGUUACCUGAGAAUGGUUAUGGGGCUAAUGUUACUAGCUUGCCCACACGCCUUCAUUAUCCACCAGACAGGGUACUUACCAUAAAAAUGGAUGCCUACAAUUCCCGAAAGGAAAUAUUCAGAGCAGAGUCAAAAUAUUGAAACGAUCUUGUAAAUGGUUAUGUUAAUGCCUUCAAUUGGAAAGACUUACACCUACGAAACGUGAUGGACAUGAAGGCUGGAUAUUGAGGGUUUGCUGCAGCAUUACAUGAUUAUGGGAUUGAUUGUUGGGUUAUGAAUGUUGUUCCUGUUAGUGGUUUCAAUACAUUGCCUGUUAUUUAUGACCGUGGGCUCGUAGGAGUUAUGCAUGACGGGUGUGAGCCAUUUGAUACUUAUC